GCCGAGGACAAGCUUCUUUGUGAGUGUUGACGAGACAUUGGAUAAGACCCAAAGAAGGGCGCCGAGCAAAAGCAUUCAACCUUUUGGACUCGUAUGCACCGCGAGUUUCAUGAGCACAAGAAGUUUCCACCUUACCAAUUUGUGAGCACGUGCGGGUGGGUCUUCAUUUCCAAGCGGUGGAGGGUGAUCCGACAAGAGUGCAACAAGUUUUGCGCCACCCUUGAGAGUGUCAAGGCCCGCCCCGUGAGCGGCAUCGGCGUGCAAGACAUGGUAUGA
Molecule: ribosomal RNA, 276 nt
Filed under: Triticum aestivum (bread wheat)
Lineage: Eukaryota; Viridiplantae; Streptophyta; Magnoliopsida; Poales; Poaceae
Description: partial small subunit ribosomal RNA
Source: RNAcentral